ACAUAUAUAACGGACAAAAAAAUCGAUUUUUAAAGAAAAAGGGAGAAAGGGUAUAACUUUAGAGGCUGUGGCCUUAAAAGUUUUGGUCGGAAUCUAUGACAGCUCAGAAUGUUGACCAUCCGCCAUAUUCUCCCAAACCGAGCCUACUUACGUUUUGCUUUUGGUACUGGUUGGCUGGAAAGCGGUAAAAGCUUAAACGAUUUCAAAUACUCAAAUGUCAGGCUUUACAGUUUUGCGCGGUGGUUCGAAAGGAUGCAGAAGGGUAUUCAAUUUAACGGUGAAUGCUUCAAAUAUUAGUUUUAUCAUCCUUUGUUUAAGUUAUUGUUAUUAUAAGAAGUAAGAUUUUCACUCAAUAUAAUUAAAUCUCGCAUCAUAAUUCAUAAAAGCCCUGGUGCUCCAGUACUAUGUUUCUUGUCUAGAUCCCACCUUUACGUUAACACAUCCUUUUAACAAUAAAAUAAGAAUAGGUAUAGGUUCUCGUCCAGUUUGUUAUACCGGGUGAAUUAUAUUCUAAACCGGAACAUAGAGAAAAAUGUUUUGUUUUGCAGAUUGUUGCUCCCCAUGUUAACUAACGAUAAAUACGAAUUUUCAGUUAUAUUUCUCCUUACUUUAUCAAAAUUCAGCAAUAAAUCCAAUUAGCAAAAUCAUGUUAAGGCAUAACAGUCACACAAAUAAUCUUCUUUUGAUUGAUGUCAUUAUAAACCUUCUAAGUUAACAUGGGGAGCAAUAAUCUGCAAAACAAAAGAAAUCAGUACAUUCUGUCUGUCUAUCCGAAAUUAUGAAACUUUCCGAAGGUAGAGGUUUUCGAAUUUCGUGUUCACUAAUCGAUUGCUUAGGAUUUGGAUUUGAAAGAUUUGAUUACAUUUUGUGUCUUUCUUUUAUACUUUCUCUACUCCAGAACACAUACUUACCCAUCAAAAAGUAGAUACCUACCUGAUUGAGCUUGGGAAAUUUCUUAAUUCGGUUUUACUUUUUAGACGCGGUCUUCAGGCAGUACCUACCUCAUCGCCAGCAAUCCAAACGAUGGCACUAUUCCAAAACUGCAACGAAUUAGCACGGACCUUGGUCGCUUAUCAACCCUGUAGAGAUCGUCAGCAAAGCGCAACAUUCAUUCAGCAAAUAUGAGCACUAUUCACCACAUCAAAUCCGACGCUGACAUCAACGAGUGUUCCAGCCGUCAACGAAUAUAUAAUUGAUUAAUUUUCCAUCGGUGUGAAACCGGGAUGUUGGAAAUCUGGAAAAUACCAGUCACUUGGUGCGAAGCUACAGAUCAGUGGAACUAGGCCUAAACCCCUUUGAGGUCGCAUUCCGUCUAGAGGAAGGAUGCAACGAUGCCAUCUUAGGAAAUCGUCAAAGCGGUAUCGGGCGACCAAACAACUUACCAACACUCAACAGUUACCCUUUGGUUGGCAUUCGUUUCAAAUCCGCUACAUCCUUAAGUUUUCAUUGGUUUUUUUUGCUGGGGGGGGGGGGGUGGAGAGACUAUGUCGUGUGAUGAACUAGUGCGAGCUACCAGCAAAGUGCAGUUAGGGCAGUACAAUAUUAUUCUAGAGAUGAAC
This is a long non-coding RNA of Photinus pyralis (common eastern firefly), 1559 nucleotides long. RefSeq lists it as uncharacterized. The record is from RefSeq and is a predicted model, not a curated record. The transcript is spliced from 4 exons. Lineage: Eukaryota; Metazoa; Arthropoda; Insecta; Coleoptera; Lampyridae.